Molecule: long non-coding RNA, 4124 nt
Organism: Clupea harengus (Atlantic herring)
Lineage: Eukaryota; Metazoa; Chordata; Actinopteri; Clupeiformes; Clupeidae
Source: Ensembl
AGAUCUAAAACUCGCAAGAAGGUCAAGGAAUAACUUAUUACGAGCUGGAACUUUACUGGCAGUGCUCAGUAGUCAGAUUAAAUGGAACACGCUGUACAACACAGAGAGGAAGUGUUUCUACUCUGUUACUGUUACUUAUUACUCAGUAUGUCAUCCAGAGGGCACCCUAGUGCACAAGGAACAUACAGAAGGCUUACGUGUGCAGAGGACAUGAUUACAUCAGGGCACUGAGAAGGCCACGAAAGAUCAAGUACUCUUCUCUCAAACAGUGCACCUGACUGCAGCCUUGUAGAUCCUCCCAACCUUCUGAUAAAUUAGAGUUAGGUAAAACUCUCUAUGCCCUAGUUUGCAUUUGUCUAGCAUGUGUAUAAAAUUGAGGAACACGAAUGAGAAGGAACAGUAUGGUUCUGAGGAAAAUUAUGUGCUUUAUAUAGUAUUUCCUCUUACCAGUGUUCCUGUUCCUAUUACCUCACAGUCACUUUUAUGUUCUCCCAUAAACCCUUGAAUCCUGUUGAUUUCACUGUGUACUUCAGUGGCAUUUGCCUUUUCCAGUACACUUUGUUGCAUAGAGGCAUAGUUGUUAUUGUAGUAAGAUUUACUUAUUAUAUUAUUCUGGGAACGAGGGCUCAGUGAGGGUGGCAUUCAUGCAGAAGUGAGGUGAGAUUCUGGUCAAUUUACACCACUGUGGGCAGAAUGGUGUAACAGACUGAACUAGCCAGCUAGUAGGCUAUCCAGUCACUUGUCUUUAUAUCAGAACUGUCAUUGAAGUCCAAGAUUCAAUAUCUAAAAUACAAGGAAGAACAAAUAAGCCUUAGAAGGCCCUCCAGGUUAAUCUUUUUUAGCAAAUUAAAAAACCUAUAGAGCAUGGAUCCACGCCAAAGUAAACCACCACUGACUGGAUCAGAUUUGAAAACGCUCAAUCAAGGUCAUUGGCAUGGCGGUAGUCAGUAAUGGCCUCACUUGGUUGCAGCACACUCACACUCACUCCUGUUCCUAAAUUGCACAUUUCCUGCCUUUCAUCAUCCACACGAGCAGGAGAUAAUAUGACCCUUUUUAUUCAUAACUACAUGACAUUUUUAAUAAACAAUUAUAUUGAUAUGAUAUAUCCAGAUUAGUCAAAUUAAUAUGUAUUUGGAAAAUAUGUAUUUCAGUAGCAAACAUGUUCUACUUCUUCUUCUUCCUGUCUUUCAGCCAUGUCCAAAACAAGGUUGCAACUGUACCUAAUCCCUUCAAAUAACAUCAUUUCAGAGAGGUUGAAGAGGUUGCUCUUGUACAUAUGCAGACUAAGUGGCACCUAAUAUUCUAAGUUACACACACGCAGAAACACAGAAAAGCCAUGUUCCUGCUUACAUAAGUACAUGAUUCAUAUAAGGUAAUUAACAAUACAAGGCACUUGAUUAUUAUAUUCUUAAGUCAUUAACUGUGUUUGGAAAUUAUCUCCAUCAGUCCCUCCUUUUAUCCGUUUCAAUGGAUAAUUCAAAAUCACAAUAAAAAUCACAAUUCAAAUCAAAAUCACAAAUCAUCUUUCUUAAUUCGUCAAUUAUCAAUUUCAAUGGAUAACCUCAAAAUCAUCACUCUGAGCUUCAUCACAUGGAUUUUCGGAACAGAGAUCAUUACUGUGCAUCACUCCAUAUCAUCAUAAGUCAAUCAUUUAAAAUGUCAUCAUAUUUCUCAUCACACAUUUGAAUACUUUGCAUUUGUAGGCCAACAUAGUGGGUGUCGACUGUGUUUGUGUCAUUAGCUCGCCUAGGCUUCAGAUAACAUUCAAACAAGGUUUCUUUGCUGUGUCCUUGAAGGCCCUGUUCCCCAUCAGGCAUUCUGCAGAACACAUCGGCUGUUGAAUAUUACUGGACAGGAAAAUGUAAACAGUCUCUUUGUUGAAAGUGUGUUUGGGCAGUCUGGUUCCCAUCACGGAUGAUCUUUGGCCAGGCCCCAUCGCGGAUAUUUGUCCAGGGCCGGUGUUUGCCGUCUCAUCCAUAAGCUGGUCUUCUGUCACAGUGGGCACACCCUGGAAACAGCAAAGAAAGAUGAUCUUUAUUCCUCUGCCUCAGCCGUGUGCAGGCUUACCCGUUUGCAUUGAGCCAGAAGUAUCCACGUGGCUCUCAGCUAUUUUGACUGCGGUAGGUGUUGACAGUAGCACUUGUUAUGGUCUGUCCCACUUGGGCGAAUGGCAGUGUUUUCUUUUGAGGCUGUUGAUUAGGACACAAUCUCUUGGCCCAACCUUGAAUUCAGCCUCACAGUGUUCCUGUGUAGGGGAGAGAAGUCUGAGAGCAUUUAGUUUCGACAUCAUCUUUGCCAUAUAUUCUGCAAAUGUAUAUUCAAUCUCUUUGUCUGUUUCAGCAAAUAGUUUGAGUGCUGAGGCAGUGUAGAUUCUUCCAUACAUCAUUUCAAACAGUGAUAACAACAUGCAUGCUUAAUUUCACUAAUUUCACUCUUGGAUUCUCAAUUAACUUUUAAUAGUUUGGUUAAUUCUUUUCUACCAGUCCGGCUGACUGGGGGUUGUAUGAACAGUGAUUGUCUAUGGCUAGACAAUAUUUCUUUCUUUCGUUGGGAUUUAACUCAAUAAAAUCAAUAAUGAAUUAUUAAACAUCUUUCUCAUGAAAUAUAAAUAAGAAGUACAAAUAUAUGCUUACUAUCCCCACUUAUUGAGGCAUGUUUUUACCAUGGCUCAAUAUUACAGCAUAUCUUUUAGUAUUGUGAGAUCUAAUUCUUCAAUUGUGUACGUGUCAGAUGGUUGUUGUAGUUUGGCCUGGUUAGUGGCCUUGUCUUCUUUGUGGUUUCCCAAUGAAACCGGGUCUUUGCAUGUGUGUAUGCGCAAUCAGGGAAAUCAGUUCUGCUGCUUGUGCGGAAUAGUGUGGAAGUAGUGGCUAUGUGUUCAAGGUUUAUUUGCUUGAACCAUCAACAAACAAUAGUUAAAUCAGCUUCUGGAAAAGGCAUAUCUCGUAGGUCAGCUCUGGCUGCCAUAGUUUUUAUCUGUCUUCUGCCGUAAGGAAAAGGGUAACUGGGUUAAAUGUCACGCAGCGCUCAAUAUUGAUAUGAGGCUGAGUGAGCAAAAAAAAAAUGUAAAAGAAAUAAGCAUGUAGAACUUUCAGUGUAAGUGUCUGUUUAGUACAAUAGGAGCAGAGGCCUGCACCGCCAAGGCUGCAGCCACUACUGCUUGUAAACAUUCAGACAUUGCUUGGGCUACUGGAUCUAGCCGUGUUGACUAGUAUGCCACUGGUAUCAACUUUAAGUCCCCACUUAUGCAUUAACACAGAACCAUUUUAUUUAUUUAUUUAUUUAUUUUAAUCUACAGUUUGUACGAAUGGCUUGUACCCAUGGAUGUGCUAAGACAUAAUGUAUUUCUUUGUCUGUGGCUGAGGUGCUUUUUUAAAGAUAGCUUUACUUUACUGGACCACAGCUGCUAAUUUUGUGGCCUUGUUUCUGCUAAAAAUCUUAACAACGCCAGGGUAUGUUGUUUACAGGUCUUCUUAUCUGGAGGAACAGCAUAUUCUUUUGAGGCAGCACUCAACCCCCACCCAGCCUGUGUCCAAUGCAUCAGUCUAGGUUGAUGUAGUUAGUGUGAUAGGCUUCAAUUUCUCUUUAAAUCUUGUUUGGGCUAAACAGUGUAUAUUCUAUACAUAGUAAUAUUUUGGGACACCAUUUCUUUGACACACCAUUGUUUAAUUUAUUCUAAAACCCAUGUAUUGUUGGAACAAUUCUAAUGCCCAACCCAUAUCACAUCUCUUCCUAAUGUUUUUGCAACAUAAUCUGUAUUUUUUAAAUAUCUCUCCUGUUUUCAGAGUCUGCUUUUAGAUGUCUCUUUCUUCUUACAACCUCACUGUUCUGGGCAUCUAAUUCAAGUAAUCAGAGUCACACAAAACAAAACAAAACAAAAAAUCAUUGGCUUUCUUGCCACCAUUAACGUUUGGCGCCAAGGGCGUCAGCAGCAUUUUGAGAGUGGGGGGGACAUAUUUCAGUGGGGGGUCUGGGGGUUCUCCCCCAGAAAAUUUUGAAAGAUGUAGAUGCAAUUUCCCGUAUUCUGGUGCACUUACCAUGUUUUUAGAUAAAAAAUUAUCUCUCUUUGAUUGUUUUUCCUUGGAGUCGGCAUGGUCUGCAAUUACUGACUACUAUUAUGUUCUGGU